AAUAGAUACCCUGGUAGUCCACGCCGUAAACGGUGGGCGCUAGGUGUGGGGCACUUUCCACGUGCUCUGUGCCGCAGCUAACGCAUUAAGCGCCCCGCCUGGGGAGUACGGCCGCAAGGCUAAAACUCAAAGGAAUUGACGGGGGCCCGCACAAGCGGCGGAGCAUGCGGCUUAAUUCGAAGCAACGCGAAGAACCUUACCAAGGCUUGACAUAUAGGGAAAUCUCAUAGAGAUAUGAGGUCCGCAAGGGCCCUAUACAGGUGGUGCAUGGUUGUCGUCAGCUCGUGUCGUGAGAUGUUGGGUUAAGUCCCGCAACGAGCGCAACCCUCGUUCUAUGUUGCCAGCACGUAAUGGUGGGGACUCAUAGGAGACUGCCGGGGUCAACUCGGAGGAAGGUGGGGAUGACGUCAAAUCAUCAUGCCCCUUAUGUCUUGGGCUGCACGCAUGCUACAAUGGAUGGUACAGAGGGUUGCGAUCCGUAAGGUGGAGCGAAUCCCGACAAAGCCAUUCUCAGUUCGGU
This 520-nucleotide ribosomal RNA is filed under the name uncultured bacterium. RNAcentral describes it as "bacterial SSU rRNA". It matches the Rfam family "Bacterial small subunit ribosomal RNA", at positions 777 to 1297 of the family's 1533-position model. The record is from RNAcentral.